GGAUUCCCCUAGUAACUGCGAGUGAAGCGGGAAAAGCUCAAAUUUAAAAUCUGGCGGUCUUUGGCCGUCCGAGUUGUAGUCUGGAGAAGUGCUUUCCGCGCUGGACCGUGUAUAAGUCUCUUGGAACAGAGCGUCAUAGAGGGUGAGAAUCCCGUCUUUGACACGGACUACCAGUGCUUUGUGAUGCGCUCUCAAAGAGUCGAGUUGUUUGGGAAUGCAGCUCAAAAUGGGUGGUGAAUUCCAUCUAAAGCUAAAUAUUGGCGAGAGACCGAUAGCGAACAAGUACCGUGAGGGAAAGAUGAAAAGCACUUUGGAAAGAGAGUUAAACAGUACGUGAAAUUGCUGAAAGGGAAACGCUUGAAGUCAGUCGCGUCUUCCGGAACUCAGCCUUCCUUUUGGUUGGUGCACUUUCCGGUUGACGGGCCAGCAUCAAUUUCGACCGUCGGAAAAGGGCUGGGGAAAUGUGGCACCUUUCGGGGUGUGUUAUAGUCCUCAGUCGCAUACGUCGGUCGGGAUUGAGGAUCGCAGCGCGCCGCAAGGCAGGGGGUUAGCCCACUUUCGCGCUUAGGAUGCUGGCAUAAUGGCUUUAAACGACCCGUCUUGAAACACGGACCAAGGAGUCUAACAAACCUGCGAGUGUUUGGGUGGAAAACCCGAGCGCGUAAUGAAAGUGAAAG
This 677-nucleotide ribosomal RNA is filed under the name Polyporus ciliatus. RNAcentral's name for it is "eukaryotic LSU rRNA". It matches the Rfam family "Eukaryotic large subunit ribosomal RNA", at positions 72 to 731 of the family's 3401-position model. Lineage: Eukaryota; Fungi; Basidiomycota; Agaricomycetes; Polyporales; Polyporaceae. The record is from RNAcentral.